AUUCACCUGACGAAUCUCGAAUAGGACGAAAUGCGCAUCCUGGAU
RNAcentral lists this non-coding RNA (45 nucleotides) under Schistosoma margrebowiei. Lineage: Eukaryota; Metazoa; Platyhelminthes; Trematoda; Strigeidida; Schistosomatidae. The record is from RNAcentral.